RNAcentral lists this ribosomal RNA (253 nucleotides) under uncultured bacterium. Its description in RNAcentral is "partial 16S ribosomal RNA". It matches the Rfam family "Bacterial small subunit ribosomal RNA", at positions 524 to 776 of the family's 1533-position model. The record is from RNAcentral.
UACGUAGGGAGCAAGCGUUGUCCGGAAUCAUUGGGCGUAAAGCGCGCGUAGGUGGCCCGGUAAGUCCGCUCUGAAAGUCACAGGCUCAACCUGUGAAAGCGGGUGGAUACUGCCGGGCUAGAGUCCGGAAGAGGCGAGUGGAAUUCCUGGUGUAGCGGUGGAAUGCGCAGAUAUCUGGAGGAAUACCGGUGGCGAAGGCGGCAUCCUGGACCGACAUUGACGCUGAGGAGCGAAAGCUAGGGGAGCAAACGGG